RNAcentral lists this ribosomal RNA (376 nucleotides) under uncultured bacterium. RNAcentral describes it as "bacterial SSU rRNA". It matches the Rfam family "Bacterial small subunit ribosomal RNA", at positions 524 to 898 of the family's 1533-position model. The record is from RNAcentral.
UACGGAGGGUGCGAGCGUUGUCCGGAAUCACUGGGCGUAAAGGGCGCGUAGGCGGCUCGUGAAGUCAGUGGUGAAAGCCCAGGGCUCAACUCUGGGUCGGCCACUGAUACUCGCGAGCUCGAGUUUGGUAGAGGCAGAUGGAAUUCCGGGUGUAGCGGUGGAAUGCGUAGAGAUCCGGAAGAACACCGGUGGCGAAGGCGGUCUGCUGGGCCAAGACUGACGCUGAGGCGCGACAGCGUGGGGAGCAAACAGGAUUAGAUACCCUGGUAGUCCACGCCGUAAACGAUGGGCACUAGGUGCUUGGGGGAGCGACCCCUUGAGUGCCGGCGCUAACGCAUUAAGUGCCCCGCCUGGGGAGUACGGCCGCAAGGCUGAA